RNAcentral lists this long non-coding RNA (572 nucleotides) under Arachis ipaensis. RNAcentral describes it as "long non-coding RNA (AIPA_LNC000203)". The record is from RNAcentral. Lineage: Eukaryota; Viridiplantae; Streptophyta; Magnoliopsida; Fabales; Fabaceae.
CUAGAAGAACCUUGGCACGCCGACGGUGCAGGGAUUGAGGAAUGUUGAUGCGGCGUGUGGGGGGAUGGUUUGCGGAUUAGUGACGGCGAGAAGAUCUUUGCUGGCGACAACAGUAUUAAGUGAGUGAGAGAGACACGCUCGGUAAGGGCCGGUUGCUGACCAAGUCCGGCACUAAGAGAUUGGGCGGCAACGAUGAUGCGCGAAAGGGAGGAGAGAAGCGCCGAUUGGGAGCUGGUUGACGCAAGGACAGCCGUGAGCUGCUCGGCGUCGACGGUGACGUCCGGCGACGGAUAGAGACCCGCCGAUGAGGAUGCUGGUUGACGUGGCAGCAAGGGAGUGAGGAGAUUUGGGGAGAAACAGUAGCCGCGGUAAUUUAGAUAAGGAAUUUGAUGGUUAAAAUUUGAAAAAGUAAGUAUUAAAAUUUUUUAUUACCUCAUUUCUGUGCAUUUUUUUUUUAUUUUUAGUGUGUCUAAGAUUUGAGUUUAUUAUUCACAAUUUUCAUUAUUUAUUUAACGGAUGUGAUCUACUAAUAUAAAUUUUAAAAAUAAUUAUCUGAACUAUCAAUAAUUGAG